CAGCCGCCGCGGGAAUACGAAGGGGGCUAGCGUUGUUCGGAAUUACUGGGCGUAAAGCGCACGUAGGCGGAUUUUUAAGUCAGGGGUGAAAUCCCGAGGCUCAACCUCGGAACUGCCUUUGAUACUGGAGAUCUUGAGUUCGGAAGAGGUUGGUGGAACAGCUAGUGUAGAGGUGAAAUUCGUAGAUAUUAGCUAGAACACCAGUGGCGAAGGCGGCCAACUGGUCCGAUACUGACGCUGAGGUGCGAAAGCGUGGGGAGCAAACAGGAUUAGAUACCCGUGUAGUCCCUGUCUCUUAUAC
This 301-nucleotide ribosomal RNA is filed under the name uncultured bacterium. RNAcentral describes it as "partial 16S ribosomal RNA". It matches the Rfam family "Bacterial small subunit ribosomal RNA", at positions 509 to 807 of the family's 1533-position model. The record is from RNAcentral.